UGGGGAAUAUUGGACAAUGGGGGCAACCCUGAUCCAGCCAUGCCGCGUGAGUGAAGAAGGCCUUCGGGUUGUAAAGCUCUUUUGGCGGGGACGAUGAUGACGGUACCCGCAGAAUAAGCCCCGGCUAACUUCGUGCCAGCAGCCGCGGUAAGACGAAGGGGGCUAGCGUUGUUCGGAAUUACUGGGCGUAAAGGGCGCGUAGGCGGUUUGUUAAGUCAGGCGUGAAAGCCCUGGGCUCAACCUGGGAGGU
This 250-nucleotide ribosomal RNA is filed under the name uncultured bacterium. RNAcentral's name for it is "partial 16S ribosomal RNA". It matches the Rfam family "Bacterial small subunit ribosomal RNA", at positions 355 to 622 of the family's 1533-position model. The record is from RNAcentral.